RNAcentral lists this ribosomal RNA (279 nucleotides) under uncultured bacterium. Its description in RNAcentral is "partial 16S ribosomal RNA". It matches the Rfam family "Bacterial small subunit ribosomal RNA", at positions 506 to 784 of the family's 1533-position model. The record is from RNAcentral.
UGCCAGCAGCCGCGGUAACACGGGGGGCGCAAGCGUUAUUCGGAAUUAUUGGGCGUAAAGGGCGCGUAGGUUGAUUGGUCAGUCAGAUGUGAAAGCCCCGGGCUCAACCUGGGAACUGCACCUGAUACUGCCAGUCUAGAAUACGGUAGAGGGUAGUGGAAUUUCCUGUGUAGCGGUGACAGGCGUAGAUAUAGGAAGGAACACCAGUGGCGAAGGCGACUACCUGUACCGAUAUUGACACUGAGGUGCGAACGCUUGGUGCGAAAACAGGAUUCGAUC